Non-coding RNA from Paramuricea clavata, 619 nucleotides. The record is from the annotation of a GenBank genome assembly. Lineage: Eukaryota; Metazoa; Cnidaria; Anthozoa; Malacalcyonacea; Plexauridae.
GCUAAGCGUAUAUAUAUAUAAAAAAGUUAUAGUAAAUAACAACUAAUUUUACUGUAGUUACAACAUUAAGUGGAUAAAGAAAUAUAUAUAAUAGAUAAUAUAUAAUAGAAAUAUAGGAAAAUUUAGUAAUUUAGUUAGUAUCUCUUGUUUGAAGGCUUUUGUCUCUAAUGUUAAAACAUUUUGCAAUGAAUUUUGAAAAUAGAUCGAUUAAAACUGAAUCAGUACUUGAAAUAACAUGACUCAAUAAGUUUUGCUUUGACUCUGUUACAAGAGUCAUUUGAAAAAUGUUUUUCAGUAUAUUGCUGGAAUCAUUCCUAAUGUUUUCAUAAUUUUGACAUUCGAAGGCAAAGUGAAAUUCGUCUUCGACUUUCUGUGUGCCGCAUAAUUUACAAUAUCUUUCUUCACGGGGUAUAUUUUGAUAACGGCCGUACUCUAUAAGUAGUUUGUGAUUACUUAUUCGGAAUUUUGCAAACAUUCUUCUUUGGGAUGGGUCUUUUAUUGUGUUAAGAUAUUCUUCCAUUUUGUAUUUCUUUUUAAAUGUAUAGUAAAAUGAUAGUUUUCUGGAAUUUCUUACUUGAUCAUUCCAGAAUGAAACAUAGUUGUCUUUGACGCUUUUUUU